CGUUAAGUUGCAGGGUAUAGACCCGAAACCCGGUGAUCUAGCCAUGGGCAGGUUGAAGGGUGGGUAACACUAACUGGAGGACCGAACCGACUAAUGUUGAAAAAUUAGCGGAUGACCUGUGGCUGGGGGUGAAAGGCCAAUCAAACCGGGAGAUAGCUGGUUCUCCCCGAAAGCUAUUUAGGUAGCGCCUCGUGAAUUCAUCUCCGGGGGUAGAGCACUGUUUCGGCUAGGGGGCCAUCCCGGCUUACCAACCCGAUGCAAACUGCGAAUACCGGAGAAUGUUAUCACGGGAGACACACGGCGGGUGCUAACGUCCGUCGUGAAGAGGGAAACAACCCAGACCGCCAGCUAAGGUCCCAAAGUCAUGGUUAAGUGGGAAACGAUGUGGGAAGGCCCAGACAGCCAGGAUGUUGGCUUAGAAGCAGCCAUCAUUUAAAGAAAGCGUAAUAGCUCACUGGUCGAGUCGGCCUGCGCGGAAGAUGUAACGGGGCUAAACCAUGCACCGAAGCUGCGGCAGCGACACUGUGUGUUGUUGGGUAGGGGAGCGUUCUGUAAGCCUGUGAAGGUGUGUCGUGAGGCAUGCUGGAGGUAUCAGAAGUGCGAAUGCUGACAUAAGUAACGAUAAAGCGGGUGAAAAGCCCGCUCGCCGGAAGACCAAGGGUUCCUGUCCAACGUUAAUCGGGGCAGGGUGAGUCGACCCCUAAGGCGAGGCCGAAAGGCGUAGUCGAUGGGAAACGGGUUAAUAUUCCCGUACUUGGUGUUACUGCGAAGGGGGGACGGAGAAGGCUAUGUUGGCCGGGCGACGGUUGUCCCGGUUUAAGCGUGUAGGUGUGUGUUCCAGGUAAAUCCGGUUCACUUUAACACUGAGGCGUGACGACGAGGCACUACGGUGCUGAAGCAACAAAUGCCCUGCUUCCAGGAAAAGCCUCUAAGCAUCAGGUAACAUCAAAUCGUACCCCAAACCGACACAGGUGGUCAGGUAGAGAAUACCAAGGCGCUUGAGAGAACUCGGGUGAAGGAACUAGGCAAAAUGGUGCCGUAACUUCGGGAGAAGGCACGCUGACACGUAGGUGAAGUGAUUUACUCAUGGAGCUGAAGUCAGUCGAAGAUACCAGCUGGCUGCAACUGUUUAUUAAAAACACAGCACUGUGCAAACACGAAAGUGGACGUAUACGGUGUGACGCCUGCCCGGUGCCGGAAGGUUAAUUGAUGGGGUCAGCGCAAGCGAAGCUCCUGAUCGAAGCCCCGGUAAACGGCGGCCGUAACUAUAACGGUCCUAAGGUAGCGAAAUUCCUUGUCGGGUAAGUUCCGACCUGCACGAAUGGCGUAAUGAUGGCCAGGCUGUCUCCACCCGAGACUCAGUGAAAUUGAACUCGCUGUGAAGAUGCAGUGUACCCGCGGCAAGACGGAAAGACCCCGUGAACCUUUACUAUAGCUUGACACUGAACAUUGAGCCUUGAUGUGUAGGAUAGGUGGGAGGCUUUGAAGUGUGGACGCCAGUCUGCAUGGAGCCGACCUUGAAAUACCACCCUUUAAUGUUUGAUGUUCUAACGUGGACCCGUUACCCGGGUUGCGGACAGUGUCUGGUGGGUAGUUUGACUGGGGCGGUCUCCUCCUAAAGAGUAACGGAGGAGCACGAAGGUUGGCUAAUCCUGGUCGGACAUCAGGAGGUUAGUGCAAUGGCAUAAGCCAGCUUGACUGCGAGCGUGACGGCGCGAGCAGGUGCGAAAGCAGGUCAUAGUGAUCCGGUGGUUCUGAAUGGAAGGGCCAUCGCUCAACGGAUAAAAGGUACUCCGGGGAUAACAGGCUGAUACCGCCCAAGAGUUCAUAUCGACGGCGGUGUUUGGCACCUCGAUGUCGGCUCAUCACAUCCUGGGGCUGAAGUAGGUCCCAAGGGUAUGGCUGUUCGCCAUUUAAAGUGGUACGCGAGCUGGGUUUAGAACGUCGUGAGACAGUUCGGUCCCUAUCUGCCGUGGGCGCUGGAGAACUGAGGGGGGCUGCUCCUAGUACGAGAGGACCGGAGUGGACGCAUCACUGGUGUUCGGGUUGUCAUGCCAAUGGCACUGCCCGGUAGCUAAAUGCGGAAGAGAUAAGUGCUGAAAGCAUCUAAGCACGAAACUUGCCCCGA
Molecule: ribosomal RNA, 2128 nt
Filed under: Salmonella enterica subsp. enterica serovar Enteritidis
Lineage: Bacteria; Pseudomonadati; Pseudomonadota; Gammaproteobacteria; Enterobacterales; Enterobacteriaceae
Description: partial 23S ribosomal RNA
Rfam family: Bacterial large subunit ribosomal RNA
Source: RNAcentral